UACGGGGGGGGCAAGCGUUGUUCGGAAUUACUGGGCGUAAAGGGCUCGUAGGUGGCCAACUAAGUCAGACGUGAAAUCCCUCAGCUUAACUGGGGAACUGCGUCUGAUACUGGAUGGCUUGAGUUUGGGAGAGGGAUGCGGAAUUCCAGGUGUAGCGGUGAAAUGCGUAGAGAUCGGGAGGAACAUCAGUGGCGAAGGCGGCCCUCUGGACCAGUACUGACGCUGAGGCACGAAAGCGUGGGGAGCAAACAGG
RNAcentral lists this ribosomal RNA (253 nucleotides) under uncultured bacterium. RNAcentral's name for it is "partial 16S ribosomal RNA". It matches the Rfam family "Bacterial small subunit ribosomal RNA", at positions 524 to 776 of the family's 1533-position model. The record is from RNAcentral.